This 275-nucleotide ribosomal RNA is filed under the name uncultured bacterium. RNAcentral describes it as "partial 16S ribosomal RNA". It matches the Rfam family "Bacterial small subunit ribosomal RNA", at positions 399 to 691 of the family's 1533-position model. The record is from RNAcentral.
GCGUGAGUGAAGAAGGCCCUAGGGUCGUAAAGCUCUUUCGCCUGUGAUGAUAAUGACAGUAGCAGGUAAAGAAACCCCGGCUAACUCCGUGCCAGCAGCCGCGGUAAUACGGAGGGGGUUAGCGUUGUUCGGAAUUACUGGGCGUAAAGCGCGCGUAGGCGGAUUGGAAAGUUGGGGGUGAAAUCCCGGGGCUCAACCCCGGAACUGCCUUCAAAACUCCCAGUCUAGAGUUCGAGAGAGGUGAGUGGAAUUCCGAGUGUAGAGGUGAAAUUCGU